RNAcentral lists this ribosomal RNA (310 nucleotides) under uncultured bacterium. RNAcentral describes it as "bacterial SSU rRNA". It matches the Rfam family "Bacterial small subunit ribosomal RNA", at positions 28 to 334 of the family's 1533-position model. The record is from RNAcentral.
GACGAACGCUGGCGGCGCGCCUAACACAUGCAAGUCGAACGAGCGAGAGAGAGCUUGCUUUCUCAAGCGAGUGGCGAACGGGUGAGUAACGCGUGAGGAACCUGCCUCAAAGAGGGGGACAACAGUUGGAAGCGACUGCUAAUACCGCAUAACACUUUAGAAUCGCAUGAUUCAGAAGUCAAAGCUUUAUGUGCUGAAAGAUGGUCUCGCGUCUGAUUAGCUAGUUGGUGAGGUAACGGCUCACCAAGGCGACGAUCAGUAGCCGGUCUGAGAGGAUGAACGGCCACAUUGGGACUGAGAUACGGCCCAG